Molecule: ribosomal RNA, 315 nt
Filed under: uncultured eukaryote
Lineage: Eukaryota
Description: partial 18S ribosomal RNA
Rfam family: Eukaryotic small subunit ribosomal RNA
Source: RNAcentral
CCCUUAGACGUUCUGGGCCGCACGCGCGCUACACUGACCAGUGCAACAAGCAUCCGUCCUUGGCCGACAGGCCCGGGCAAUCUUUGAACGCUGGUCGUGAUGGGGAUAGACUUUUGCAAUUUUUGGUCUUCAACGAGGAAUUCCUAGUAAACGCAAGUCAUCAACUUGCAUUGAUUACGUCCCUGCCCUUUGUACACACCGCCCGUCGCACCUACCGAUUGAAUGGUCCGGUGAAGCCUCCGGAUUGGCGCGCACCUCGGUGCCGCCGAGAAGUUGGCUAAACCUUACCAUUUCGAGGAAGGUGAAGUCGUAACA